UGCAAGUCGAACGGCAGCACGGAGCUUGCCCUGGUGGCGAGUGGCGAACGGGUGAGUAAUAUAUCGGAACGUACCCUGGAGUGGGGGAUAACGUAGCGAAAGUUACGCUAAUACCGCAUACGAUCUAAGGAUGAAAGUGGGGGCUCGCAAGACCUCAUGCUCCUGGAGCGGCCGAUAUCUGAUUAGCUAGUUGGUAGGGUAAAAGCCUACCAAGGCAUCGAUCAGUAGCUGGUCUGAGAGGACGACCAGCCACACUGGAACUGAGACACGGUCCAGACUCCUACGGGAGGCAGCAGUGGGGAAUUUUGGACAAUGGGCGCAAGCCUGAUCCAGCAAUGCCGCGUGAGUGAAGAAGGCCUUCGGGUUGUAAAGCUCUUUUGUCAGGGAAGAAAAGGCUGUGGCUAAUAUCUACGGCUCAUGACGGUACCUGAAGAAUAAGCACCGGCUAACUACGUGCCAGCAGCCGCGGUAAUACGUAGGGUGCAAGCGUUAAUCGGAAUUACUGGGCGUAAAGCGUGCGCAGGCGGUUUUGUAAGACUGUCGUGAAAUCCCCGGGCUCAACCUGGGAAUGGCGAUGGUGACUGCAAGGCUAGAGUUUGGCAGAGGGGGGUAGAAUUCCACGUGUAGCAGUGAAAUGCGUAGAUAUGUGGAGGAACACCGAUGGCGAAGGCAGCCCCCUGGGUCAAAACUGACGCUCAUGCACGGAAGCGUGGGGAGCAAACAGGAUUAGAUACCCUGGUAGUCCACGCCCUAAACGAUGUCUACUAGUUGUCGGGUCUUAAUUGACUUGGUAACGCAGCUAACGCGUGAAGUAGA
This 816-nucleotide ribosomal RNA is filed under the name uncultured bacterium. RNAcentral describes it as "bacterial SSU rRNA". It matches the Rfam family "Bacterial small subunit ribosomal RNA", at positions 56 to 868 of the family's 1533-position model. The record is from RNAcentral.